This is a long non-coding RNA of Balaenoptera ricei (Rice's whale), 1182 nucleotides long. RefSeq lists it as uncharacterized. The transcript is spliced from 3 exons. The record is from RefSeq and is a predicted model, not a curated record. Lineage: Eukaryota; Metazoa; Chordata; Mammalia; Artiodactyla; Balaenopteridae.
AUCUGAAGGCUGGGCUUUUAACAGGAAAGACAGAGAACACAAGAUCCCUGGGGAUCAGAGGAAAAAGAGAAAACAACUGACAAAGCAAGGAGGAGAGAAAAGAAAAAUUCAGAGCAGGAAGAUUCACAUUCCUGCAGGAGUGAUCAUGACACAUCCUCCCUUUCUCACUUCUCUGUCACUCCAUGAAAGAAGCCACUGCAAAUGGGACUUUGCCAAGUUCAAACCACUAGUUAAUGAAAGAAGGCCUCUGGAAUUAUAUAACCUUCAGGCUUCUCAGAACCUGGCUCUUCUCACACCAAGUGCUCCUGGAUACCUCAGCAAACAUCACUGGAAACUUCAGGAGUUAAAAAUCAUGGAACUGACCUAGAGUCUGCCCUGAGCCUCCUUGUUGACUCCCCUUCCUCUCCCCUCUAUUUCCCUUUAUGUCUUCUUUUUCAUCGUUUUUUUUUUUUUUUUUUCUUCUCAGAAGGACGGGAGGGGGAAGCCUUUCCUAACUAAUUAUUAGAAUAUUUUAUUGUUUGAAUAUGUCCCUGAGGUCUCCAUUUCCACUCCUCAGCAGCUUAUAAACAUUUCUUCCAAACAAAUUCUCCACCAUUCAUUACACAAACAUCUACUGAGAAGCUGUAGUCUGUACAACUCAAUUCUGCAUUAUAAAGAGGUCACGACCCUCAAAGUCAGACUAGGUUCAGUCCUGGCUCUGACCUUACUAGCUGGCUGACCAAGGACAAGACACUUAAACUCUUGGAGCUUCAGUGUCUUUACAUAUAAAAUGAGGCAGUUGGGCUGUGUAUUGAAUGCAAGCUCCUUAAGGGCAGGACUCUGUCUUACUCUCUGGCAUACAGCAGGAGUGCAAUUAAUGUCUGUUGACUGAUUGACUUUAAAAUAAAUAACAUCACAAACAUGUUGUACUGAUUAAAUGUAAAAUGGGACACAUACAAAAAGCCCAAAAACUACUCAAUGAAAGAACCCAGUGCCCGGCCUCAAAUAUCUCAUACUCUAGCUAAAGAGAAACUGAAUAAAGGAACCACUAAAAAGAGAUGCGAAGGCAAUAGAAAUGAAGUCUGAAUUUUACCUUCAAAUCUCUUUUAUGAGAAAAUGAUGUCUAUCUCCUAAGAAACUCUGAGAUAAUUUAGCGUAAUCACCUGAAAUAUAAAUUUGGAGGCCUAAACGUAACUGAAACUA